UACAGAGGGUGCGAGCGUUAAUCGGAAUUACUGGGCGUAAAGCGUGCGUAGGCGGUUAUUUAAGUCGGGUGUGAAAGCCCCGGGCUCAACCUGGGAAUUGCAUUCGAGACUGAAUAGCUAGGGUACGGUAGAGGGAAGUGGAAUUUCCGGUGUAGCGGUGAAAUGCGUAGAUAUCGGAAGGAACACCAGUGGCGAAGGCGGGUCCCUGGACCAGUACUGACGUUCAGACGCGAAAGCGUGGGGAGCAAACAGG
Molecule: ribosomal RNA, 253 nt
Filed under: uncultured bacterium
Lineage: Bacteria
Description: partial 16S ribosomal RNA
Rfam family: Bacterial small subunit ribosomal RNA
Source: RNAcentral